GUUGCUUCGGCGGGAACAGACGGCCCUGUAACAACGGGCCGCCCCCGCCAGAGGACCCCUAACUCUGUUUUUAUAAUGUUUUUCUGAGUAAACAAGCAAAUAAAUUAAAACUUUCAACAACGGAUCUCUUGGCUCUGGCAUCGAUGAAGAACGCAGCGAAAUGCGAUAAGUAAUGUGAAUUGCAGAAUUCAGUGAAUCAUCGAAUCUUUGAACGCACAUUGCGCCCGCCAGUAUUCUGGCGGGCAUGCCUGUUCGAGCGUCAUUACAACCCUCAGGCCCCCGGGCCUGGCGUUGGGGAUCGGCGGAAGCCCCCUGUGGGCACACGCCGUCCCUCAAAUACAGUGGCGGUCCCGCCGCAGCUUCCAUUGCGUAGUAGCUAACACCUCGCAACUGGAGAGCGGCGCGGCCAUGCCGUAAAACACCCAACUUCUGAAUGUUGACCUCGAAUCAGGUAGGAAUACCCGCUGAACUUAAGCAUAUCAAUAAGCGGAGGA
This 494-nucleotide ribosomal RNA is filed under the name uncultured fungus. RNAcentral's name for it is "eukaryotic LSU rRNA". The stretch from base 109 to 262 matches the Rfam family "5.8S ribosomal RNA". The record is from RNAcentral. Lineage: Eukaryota; Fungi.